AGAGAAUUUGGGGUUGCUAUAAGAGUAAAAAGAGUUCAGAUAGGCUUAAGAUACGAAGAAAUUCAAUAAAAAAUGAUUUUCGAGCAUAGGGGUAAAUUGGUCAUUAUGUCAAAGUCUAGGGCAAAAUGAUCAUUUUAUCGAAGAUGUGAAUUUUUAAUUACUUAAAUUUAAUUCUUGAUUCAAUGAGUAUGUUUUGCUAUUAUAGAUCAAGAAAUACUGAAUUCGAGCCUAGACCGGGGGAAAGCCAAGCAAAUCGACUAAAUUGACUAGUCGCCACAUUUUGUAAUUAGAGUGCCGCCUAACUAGCUCAAGGAUUCCAGAAGUCAGAGAUAUCGAUCACACUAUCAACCAAAGCAUUCGGUAUAGUUGGAUUUAUAUUUUUGAAUAUGGCGUGUAUAGGACUUAGACUCUAUUAUUUUGUAUCUUUGAGAAUUGGCCAAAUGUGUUGGCUUGGGUUGGAAACCCUUUAAUUUGUAUUAAGCUUUGAAUGAUAGUUAAUAUUCAUUUUGAAUUUAUAAAA
Molecule: long non-coding RNA, 520 nt
Organism: Gossypium arboreum
Lineage: Eukaryota; Viridiplantae; Streptophyta; Magnoliopsida; Malvales; Malvaceae
Exons: 2
Source: RefSeq, a predicted model, not a curated record